Molecule: long non-coding RNA, 2256 nt
Organism: Ornithorhynchus anatinus (platypus)
Lineage: Eukaryota; Metazoa; Chordata; Mammalia; Monotremata; Ornithorhynchidae
Exons: 2
Source: RefSeq, a predicted model, not a curated record
CCAGGAGGUUCUGGGGCCCUUCCGGCCCCUCGGAUUUGCGGGCCGGAGCGUCCGCCUGUUAUUUGGGUGGCGGGUGUUUCGAGAUCCCGCUCUCGCCGGUCGACAGUUCGGGAUCUGUCCGCCUGCGAAGAUCGCCUGCUGUCCUGGGUCUCUGGAAAUCGGGAUGGGUGGGAUGGUCGUGACCCCGAAUCCCGAAAGGAUUAGAAGCCUUCUCUCCGGCGUGGCCUUUCGCCGCACGCUCCUCAUCUUCGUGUGUGCCGUGGCGCGUCUGGAGCGAUUUGAGGUUUGAUUACAGCCGUGAUAAAAGUACAGUCAGGGUGACUGAGUGACUGAACCGAAUGCCGUGAUCAGAUCUCGGAGAUCGGGAACGUGAAACGGAAAGGGCCCAAAGAUCCGGAAAUCGCGUGGUUUACGAGCCGUAUAUCGAAAGUAAAGGGCACGUUCUUUGAGCGGCGAUAUCAACCCUCUGGAUUUGGCAGAACUUUCGAGAAUGUCUCGCUGGAACCGAGAAGGCGGCAUUCAUGCGAGUGAUCCCAGCAGCGGAGAUGGUGACUCAGAAUGCCUGAGUUUUGUUCCUUUGCUUCGUCACUGUGUUUCGGCAGGAUCCCCAACGUUGACGAGUCCCCAUUUAGGUCCAGAAAAUGAGGACGAUAAUACUCAACUCUUAGAUAAGCGUUUCCUCCGACGGAAGGCACCGUCCGAAUAGAUUCGUGCAGAUCGUCUUGCCUUGUGGCAAAAUGAACAGCAAAGCAUCGAGUGGGAAUCAGCAAGGCAGACGUUACGCAUUUCCCGUCACCCGUCCCUCGAGGACCAGUCGCGUAGUCUGUUUUCUUUAACGUCGGAAUCCGUCAUCGUGUCGUAAAGUGCAGCGCUUUCGGAACCGAAACCCCUAGUGCGUGGUUUGCUUUUUUUAAUCCAGUUCAUCCCCGUGAAGUUUAAAGAGUUCACAUGGCUGGAAAUCAACGCCUCUCGCUUGAGGGCUGAACCUAAUGGGGGUGAAAUGAGCCCGGAUAUUCCCCGGUUCCCGCCACUGUGGGGAAAAGAAGGUUGGGAGUCCAAAUUCUGACCCAGGGUCCCUCAUUACAGUCUUGGGUUGUAAUUGCUACGGCUAAAUCCUGGGACAACUGGCAUUUGAGGAAGUCCCGCCUGGUGGCUCAAGUAGGACCAUCCCGAAAGGAAACCUGAUAUUAGACUGGCAGAUCUCCACCGGCGAAGAACGGCCAGCGGGAUUUUUGUCCCCGGUUUGAGUUGCCAUCGAAUCCGAACGUUCCUAGCCCCCCAAACUGGAAUGAGAAUCUCAAGCAGAGGUUCUUUACAAACUCCCUUUGAGGACCGGGAAACGUUUGAACCUAGGAAGCGAAAAGUCAGAAAGUUCAGUUCCAGAUUUGUGCGUAGAAGGUAGGCUUGGAGCUUAUCACGACCUCAUUACCCGCUCUCAGGCACCAGGAGAGGAUCCCUUUCCUAAGUGAGCUCUAAUUGAAACCUACCCCUAUGGAAAAUGCGGGCACCUUUAGGCGAGACUAUAUCAUAAUAAUUUAAAAAAAAUAAAACUUUCAUAUAAAAAGAUGAAAAUUAAUUUCCAGAAGCAUGAACGGUAGCUGAGGUGCUUUCUAGCUUUUGGAGGAUCUUGUUUCAAAAACGGCGCACCCGAUACAAUCGAGAGGCACACAAUUUUCACUCUCCUUUCAAAGAAAACCCCAAAACUGCUAUUCACAGAAACACAAAACUGGUUAGUUGUCUUACUUGUUUUCUGAAUUAUAUUCCGUUUCUUUUAAAAGUGAAAGAAUGACUUCUGUGCAGGAACGAUUUAUAGAGACAGAGUGUUUAUCAAGUGGUUUCUCCGCUUUCAUAAAAAACAAUUUAUUUUCACUGAACUCCUAAAGAUAAGCAUCAAAGCCAAGAGGAAUGUACAAUGAAGUUUAUAAUUACACUACAGAAACAAACACAGGGCCGUUUUUAUUUUGCUCAAGUGAAAGAGGCUUUAUCGAAGAGACAAAGGUGUUUGGCUUGGUUUUCUAAUAUAAGUGAGAGUCGAGAAUCCCGGGGUGGAAGUUGGAUGAUAAUCCACAGGGGUCAUGUGGAUUAAACUCUGCCAACUAAAGGCACAGUAUUCCUCCUAAACAAAAACAGGCACGUAUCAGAACACGCUAGGUAUUUUAUUCUUUAUCAAAGGAUGCCUUACCUUGAGUGCGCUCGGUCGGUUGGGUGGGGUUUUUUUAAUAAAACAUUAAGUUAUCUGUUAGAAUUCCAGUUCAA